RNAcentral lists this long non-coding RNA (398 nucleotides) under Ananas comosus (pineapple). RNAcentral describes it as "long non-coding RNA (ACOM_LNC027817)". Lineage: Eukaryota; Viridiplantae; Streptophyta; Magnoliopsida; Poales; Bromeliaceae. The record is from RNAcentral.
CUCUUUUUUUAUAGGGCCCUCUCUCUCUCUCUCUCUCUCUCUUCCUCUCUCUCUCUCUCUCUCUUCCUCUCUCUCUUUUCCAUCUCAUCCUCUUUUAUGAGCUGAAGCCUUCCCCGUACGCCUUCACCUCUUCUCCGUAUUUUUGAGCCUGUGGGCAUUAACUUCUCCUCCUCUCUUCCACACCCUCAUCCUCUAUGUACGCCUCCACCUGCGACCCAAACCUACUCCGUGAUCGAAACUCUACUCCGUACACAUUCGCCUCCUAUGCAUCACUAGAACCAUACUUGCUCCAGGUGCGUCCAAUCUCUCUCCCACCUUCCCUAUAUGCUCAAACCCUAUGAUUACCUACAGUUUGUUCUCUCCCGAUUCGGCACUGUACCUUGCGAUAUCCCACCGAU